Molecule: small RNA, 83 nt
Rfam family: Flavo-1 RNA
UUCUAGCCCCGAUUGUAGCAAUUGUUUGAGCUCCUUUUUUUUCCUUCAAAAAAAAAGAGCGAGUGCGGAAAGCGGGAAAUAGC